This is a long non-coding RNA of Sparus aurata (gilthead seabream), 1557 nucleotides long. The record is from Ensembl. Lineage: Eukaryota; Metazoa; Chordata; Actinopteri; Spariformes; Sparidae.
ACAGAAACAGACAUUUGUGUUGGAGUGAACAGGUAAGAUUUAUAAACCACGCUCUGUUGAUUUUUUUGUGAUUUACUGUCAAUAAAUGUUUGACCUUUCCUGUUUUAUUUUGAAACUACAGCACGAUGCUGCAGCUCCACCUGGACAGCAGACGGUUGAACGGAAGUUUCUGUAACUUUCCUGUUGAGGAAUUUGCUUGUGCCUCGGUGAGACACCGACACAUCUCUGAUCUGCAGCCGUCCUAAAGCUGCUGACUCAUGAAACUGUUCGUUUGAUACAUUUUCUCAUCUCAUCUCACACUGUUGUCUUUCUGCUCCGUCAUCACAGCUGUCAGGGCUGAACGCCGUGGAUCUGGCUGUGUUGUUGACAUGUCAUCGCUCCUCCAACUCCAGCAGCUCCAGACCCGUCUGGAAGCUUCUCCUCUCCAAAGCCUCACAUGUGCUGGAUGAAGCUCUGGAUUUUCUUACCAACAAGGUGUGAAUCAGCAACGCUCCUCACGUUACUCAUUCCUGAUCAGAUCUAGACACUGUGGGUGUUUUUUUCCUUGCAGACUCUCGACCCCAGAAAUCCCGCAGUGAUGAUGAUUUUGGACGCUAUACGAGAAAUUCGAUUGGAUACAUUCAGCACAGCCGGCCUCAAUAAUCCCGCCCUCAUCCAGCUGUGGUUCAAACGACGACUUCUUCCUUUCCUGCCUGCAGUUUCCACUGACUUCCUGUCAUGUCUCACCACGAAGGGUUUGAACUGCAGCAGCUACCAGCAGAUUUUGCAGGUUUUGAGCCGUGUCCAGCCACACAUGACACACUCCGGGCAGAUGUUUGUCUACACACACUUCAUAAAGGCUUUCCUGACCAGGCAGAACACCACAGAUGUCAGCUGCAGCUCAAACACCAACAACAGUGGAGACUGGCUGCAGAAGAACUUGGGAGGUUUCUCCGCCGUCGUGUCCUUCCGGGACCUGCGGAUGCUCUACUCCAACUUCUCCGGGAUGGGAGCCUUACCACAGCUGACGGUCAGACAGCUGGCAGAGAUGUCCGCCACGCCUGGACAGCUCAACUCCUCUGCCCAGGUUGCCACGGUGAUGAAACACGUCCCCAGCGAGCGCCUCUCGGCCUUCUUCGAUGACUUCUCGCCUGCUAUAAGCGUGAGUGUUAAAUUAAACACCAAUUCUUAAAUCACAUCUUGUGAAACGUCGUCUUUGAUGAAAAAGGUGUGUUAUUUUGAAAACUUCCUGUCUUUGUUUGCUUAUCCUUAUUUUCUCCUCGUCCGCAGAAUCAUCAAAACAGCACAACAACUGCGGUGAGGUCGGCCAUGUUGCAAGUCGUGUUUGAUCGUGCAGACCUCUCGAACACCUCGACGGUAUCUGAUGCAGCUGUGAUGCUGUGGCUCCACAACCGGAUGAGCCCCCUGCUGGUCGACCUGUCGCCAAACCACGUUGCGCCGUUCUUCCGCAUUCUGGCGGGAAGAAACUGCAGCAUCGAGCAGCAGGGGUGAGGAGUCUUUUAAAACGUUGUGUCAUUUUGUGCGUUCCUCUUUGCCCGUACAGCAAACGUCACAUGU